RNAcentral lists this transfer RNA (73 nucleotides) under Dallia pectoralis (Alaska blackfish). Its description in RNAcentral is "tRNA-OTHER". Lineage: Eukaryota; Metazoa; Chordata; Actinopteri; Esociformes; Umbridae. The record is from RNAcentral.
GGAGUUGGUAUGUCAGUGGUAGAGUACAGGCUCUGUAUGUAUUAUGUCCUGGGUUCAAACCCCAGCUUCUCCC